GUCAAAGAACAUAAUAGAAGGGCGGAUCCGCCGAAUGGAUAACGAUUAAGCGGAAGAGAAGAAAAUAACAAUGAUUCCUUUAGUAGCGUCUCGUGAACAAGGAAGAGCUCAAAAGGAAAAUCCCUCAGUUUUGUGCAAACUUACUUUGGGAAUUGUCAUGUUGAGUAAACAUUCCAAUUAAUGCCUUAGCAUUCAAGCGAAGUGAGCAGGAAAGCUCUCCCUAAGAGGGUGAAAGGCCCGUAGCUUGUUGCUUUCGCUUUCAAUUUUUUGGAAGUUCACUUAUAGAGUCGUGUUCUUUAAGAUUGGAGCACUAAUAUGUGUGACUUUGCAUACAUUUUUCACAUAAAGCUAAAUAUGUGUAGGAGACCGAUAGCAAACAAGUACCGUGAGGGAAAGAUGAAAUAGUACUCAGGAAUGAGCCAUUAAAUAGUACCUGAAAUCGUUAAGGUGGAACGGAUUAAGAGAGGAAAUGUAGUAAAGAGGGGAAAUUAUUCUUCGGAAUUUGUUUUUCCUCUUUAUUAUAAAAAGGAUUAUCAGUGAAUCGGGAUAGAAAAAGGGGGCCAUAUAUGUUUCUUUUUUUUAUAUAUGAGGACCGUUACACAACAGGAUUGUGAUUCUUUGCCUUUGAGUGUUGUCUCUAGGUUUUCGGAUUUAGGUUAAGGCAACAUGAAGGUUUCUUGGUUUUCCCCCCAGGGAAAAUUGCAUAAAUCCUAUUUACUGAGGAAGUAUAAUUUAAAUCGUAGAAAAAGGAACAAGUAUCUUCUUCCUUUUUUUACCAUUUAAGAUAAUCCUAACAUUUUUAUGUGAAACUUUCUUAACCCACCCGUUUUGAGACACGGACCAAGGAGUCUAUCAAAUAUGCGAGUGUAUAUGGUUAGGCUAAACUGUGAGAUAACUUUUUUUUAUACGCGACGGUAUAUAUUACAUAUAUAUGUAAUUUGUAGCAUGAGGGGGGACUUUAUCGUAUUUUCUCCUGGGCAUACAAUACCGAUGGGGUGAAUAUACGCCUUAUUGAGUAUGAGCAUAUUUGAUAGGACCCGAAAGGCUUUGAACUAGGCGUGGUGAGACUGAAGUCAGUCGAAAGGCUGAUGGAGGGUCGAACUGAAAUCGAUGUAAGAAUCGUUCACUUCAACUGCGUUUAGGGGUGAAAGACCAUACGAAAAGCCUAAUAGCUGGUUAUUUUCGAAGGAUCUCUCAAGAUCGCUGGAGUUUGUGCAGCAUACAUACGGCAGUUAUUCGGAUGCAAAGGCGAGUAUUUUGUAAGCCCUGAUAUGCAAUUGCGUAUACAGGAGCGUUACAAUGUGUGAUACUUAUGGCAUGAGACCAAUGGAUCGCAUUCGGUUGCGGGUGUUGCUUCGCUAGUUGGGGUUGUUACUUCUUUAUGGGGAACGCUCCGCUAGCGGGUGGCGAUUCGUUUGCUGGGGCGACUUCUCUCUCGAUUUUCCUUAAUUUUGUACACUGAGGAAAAUGUGAACCUAGUUUGAGACUAUGUUGUACGUCAUCCCUUUUUAGGCGCCUUCUCUGAAUUAAAUGAUAACUCCAAGUGGACCAUUUCCGGUGAGAGGAAAUGGCUGUGAGGGUUCAACCUAACGCCUGGAUAAGGUGCCUAAAUAUUCGCUCAUUAGAUCCAAUUAAAGAAAAGGUGUUGGUUCGUACUGACAGCAGGACGGUGCUCACAGAAGUCGAGAUCCGCUAAGGAGUGUGUGGCAACUCACCUGCCGAAUGAACUUGCCCUGAAAAUGGAUGGCGCUAAAGCGGAUUACCGAUACCGGGCCAUAAAAGGAGCGAAAUGGGAACCUCUUCUUUUUUCAUUUCGUAAUAACCCUUUUAUGAGUAGAAAAUCGUGGGGUUUUGUGUCGAAGCGAAAUACGUGAGUUUUCGUGGAACAUCUCCCUAGUGCAGAUCUUGGUGGAAGUAGCAAAUAUUCAAAUGAGAACUUUGAAGACUGAAGUGGAGAAGGGUUUUUUGCCAACUGUGUUUGUGCAAAAGUUAGCCGCUCCUAAGAGGCAACCGAAGGGUUUGAAAAGCGGCUGGGGAAAAGGGACUGCACAAGUGAGCGUAUGCAUAUGUGAAAUGCAUUAUAUGUAUGACGCAUUGUGUAUAUGAACAUAUUGUGCAAUCCCUUUUUCCCGGCCUACUCGAAAGGGAAACAGGUUAACAUUCCUGUGCCAUACGAAUGGUAUGUAAAACAUAUGUUCAGGGUUUUUUCCCGGAAAAAGCAGAAAGGUGGUAACACAAAUAGCAAAUGAACUCCUUAACAUAGGCCUUACAUUCGAGGUGCGUUAUCUUUGCACUUAACUUGGCGGCAAACCUCUGAGGAGCAAUUCACUUGGCGAAGAGGUAUGCCGAACCUGCAUAUCGGGGGAAAGGUGCGCAUUGGGGAAACUUCGGUUCUUUCCAAUAUGCAGUUCUCCUCCGACCCUUGUAGUAAUAGUAAUUCUUUUUUACGGAAUUAUUCGAAAGCGUAAGGACUAUCCUUGAAAAAAGGAGGGAACAAGUAAAUUUUGAAAAUGGGGGAGAAAUUCCUGUUCCAGCGGGGAGUCUUCACCCCCUUUAUUUUCAUAUAAGCUGAAUACCAUUGUUGUGCGUACCGAAUAACCGCAUCAGGUCUCCAAGGUUAGCAGCCUCUGGUUAAAUAGAACAAUGUAAGUAAGGGAAGUGAGACAAAUUGGAUCCGUAACUUCGGGAUAAGGAUAUGGCUCUGAUGAUGCUAAGUGGAGAUCAUAAUGGGGUGGUUAGUUAUCAUAUAGGUCUGGGGGGAUCAAGCGGGUAUGCAAAUAAUAAGGCUGCUACGGAUGAUUUUUCAUCUGUUCAUUCUUUUUUUUUUGUGUGCUCGUUUAAUUCACCCAUAACUAUAGAUUUCUUUCCCCCCUUCUUCCGUACUGCGAGAAAGUUAUGGUAUUUUUCCUACUUAAGAGCACUGCUUCAGCGUGCCUUAAAUGGGGGCAUGCCGUGACUGACUUGUGUACAUAUACAGCAUCGAAUCAGAACUGAAACGGACAAGAGGAAUUUGACUGUUUACGACAUAACACUGUGAGCGCCCUCAGAGAGUAGGUAUAAAUACCUUAUCGUAUAACGUAUAUACGCAUAUGCUUAUUGUAUGUACUCCUUUGGAGCACCCUUGACGCAGUGUGAUUUCUGCCCAGUGCUUUUGAAUAACAGAGUGACUGUAAUUCGAUAAAUGCGCAGGCAAAUGGCGGAAGUAGUUGCUACAGCUUCUGAUAUUUAGCCAAGUGUUCCAUCAUUAUGCGUGCCUCCUGAUUCUUGCCAAAGGGCAUAUAUAGUACUUUUAUGCUGCCUAUGGCUUGUGAGCCGGGUGUUCUAUCUGGUCCUCCAGGCCUUAUGUGGUGUAAUGUAUUUUUUAUCCCCCAAGGUUGAGAUGACGGCCUGGUACUUUUAAUAAUCGAAGGGCACUUAGAGUAGAUAAACAAAAUUCCUGCUGUCCCUACUUGCAAUCUAGCGAAACCACAACCAAGGGAUAUACAGGCUUGGUUAAAUCAGUUGGGUCAUAGAAGACCCUAUUUAACUCGACUCCAGGUAGGCUCUGUAGAACGGCUUCCGAUUGUGUAGCAUAAGUGGGAGCGGAAUUCUGAAAGAAGGGUUCCGCGCAAGUGAAAUACCACUCCAUCCAAAGUCCUUUUACUUAUCCGUUAGUGUGGGGAAAAAGGGGCACACGUGCGUAUGUGGAUAUGCACAUACUUACGUGCGUACUUAUGUAUGUACGUAUGUAUGUGCGUUCUUGCUGCGCAUGUAUGCUCCUCCCCUUAAUAGCACUACGCGGAGACACAGCCUAGUGGGGAGUUAACUUACAGUGCCGCUACGUUUGCCUUUCACCCUUUGUUUCGAUGAAGGGCGGGGGUACAAUGUGCGAAUGCAGUUAGCAGACUCAAAGAGAACAGAAAUCUCUUGGGGACUUUGCAAUAUAAGAAAUGCCUGCUAAGGUGGUACUCCUUUUGGGGAGUUUGUAUGGCCUGUAAUUAUCACCUUAUUCCUGCGAAAAAGUCAUGGGGGUAUGCGCGCGCAUACGUAAGUGAAAAUGUACGUAUGUACGUACAUACGUGCAUAUGUACGCUUUCACCUGCGUGUGCCCGCUCAUGCCUUCCAUACAAUGUGCAGAUAAGGGGCGAUAGGAAAGGGUUAUAAUAGGGAUAACUUUCUUGCGGCCGCCGAGCGACUUUUAGCGACGUAGCUUUUUGACCAUUUUGUAAUAUCAGCAUUUCCUAUCAUUGGGACGAAGAAGUCCCAAAGUGUCGGAUUGUUCAACCGCUAACAGGGAACGUGUGCUGAGUGUUGGGGCAGUCAUGAGACUCGCCCAGUUUUAAACCUACUGAUGAAAAUUGUUAAAUCAAAAACGCAUUGAUAAUGUGACGGUAAUCCAACUGAGUACGAGAGGAAAAGUUGGUUCAGACAUUUGGUACAGGAAUUGGUUGACAAGCCAGAGUUCCGAAGCUACGUCUGUUGGAUGAUAUAUAUAUAAUGGCUGAAUACAUCUCAAGCCAGAAUCCAUGCUGGAUAAACAUUACUGUAAGCGUGUUCUGCAUAAUUUGGCUUUUCACAUGUUUUGCUUUACUAAAGCAAAACUGGAAAAAGAAUACAUAUGCUUCCUUACUUUUUGUAGGGUAUAUAUGCAUAUUAGUAACCCAUCCGCCAGAGUAUUCUUCAAAGUUGGAAGAAGGGGGAGGGGGUAGCACUGCGUUACAGAGUUCGCCGCUAUCUAUGGUAGAAGCAGCUAUGCUCAAUUUUUUCCAAAUUGUAGAGUGACAUUAAGUUUCCUUUUGCAGUAUGGUAGAAUGGGGCGGUUUGUUGUUAUACUCAUCUCCCGUAUUACUUUUUAAGAUACGGGAGUGAGGGGAACACCGGGUUGUCCUUUUUUCCAUUUUUCGGCCGCUUGAGCUCAAAAUGCUAUGUGCCUCCUUUUUCUUUGUGAUGACCGAGAAGAAUACUUUUUCACCGUAAUUUUUAUAAUGCAGAAUGCAAUUAAAAAAUGCCUGUAGACGACUUGAAUUACCCCUGGUGCUGUAAACAUGAAAGUAAAUCUCAUUUUACGAUCUGUUGAGGCUCAUCCAAGGGCUUUCAUUUUUU
RNAcentral lists this ribosomal RNA (5082 nucleotides) under Plasmodium vivax (malaria parasite P. vivax). RNAcentral's name for it is "large subunit 28S ribosomal RNA". It matches the Rfam family "Eukaryotic large subunit ribosomal RNA". The record is from RNAcentral. Lineage: Eukaryota; Apicomplexa; Aconoidasida; Haemosporida; Plasmodiidae.